Molecule: non-coding RNA, 2742 nt
Organism: Manis javanica (Malayan pangolin)
Lineage: Eukaryota; Metazoa; Chordata; Mammalia; Pholidota; Manidae
Source: RefSeq, a predicted model, not a curated record
ACUGGGGGCUUGGGGAUGAGCUAUUGGCAUUUAGUAUGUAGAGGCCAGGGAUGCUGUAAACAUACUGUGAUGCACAGGAUAGCACCCCAGCCCCCAACAAAGAACUAUCCAGCUCAAAAAUGUCAAAAAUGCUGCAGUUGAGAAACCCUAGCAUAGAGCAAAUGGAGAUACUUAGGAGUUAGGAUGAAGCCAAGGGAGAAAAGCAGAGCUAAAACUAAACUUGAAGACGGGGCUAGCUACCAAUAGAAAAUAGAAAAGCGUCCUGUUCACAUGCAGGAACACAGAUCACUAUCUUCAGGAACACUGAUAAUAGGGAUAUCAGCACAGUGGGGGGCUGAACUUGGAAGACAAUGACCACAGAUGGGCAGGAGCUUAUCUGCCUGUGCCUCAGACUGGUUUCCCCAGGGCAUUUUGUGAUUACGCACAUCCCGGCCCAUUUGUUUCUAAUUGCAGUAAAGACCAUGCUCUGUUAUAUCACUAAGGUGACUAUCAUCAAGGUUUAGAGGAAAUAAAUUCACAAGAUGCUCCAUAAAAGUAAUCUCUACUUUUUGGCACCCAAGUCCAUCAAGCAUUGAUGAGGCAAGCAGGAAACCUAAUGAAAAUAAUACAAGGAAAUCUUUUCAUCAACACCCAUCCCUAAUGUCUCAGCUAUCAGGUCAUUGUUUGGGCUUCUGUAGGUGGGCUCUGCAUCCGCAGCCAACAUAGGAAAUUCUGAUUUUAAACAAGCCUAAGUAGUAAUUUUUUACCACAUGAUCUAAGCCAGUUAAGUGAGGCCAACCCUGCGUUCAUUAAGAUGUAGUGGAUUUUAAGUGUAUUUAUAAUAUUGCUUCUCUGUUUCUCAUGCACAAGACACACACUUAAGAGACAGCACAAUAGGGGCUUUCAGUGUUUGUGGUGUAGUCAUCCACAUUUUUUUUCCAAAGGAACUUGCACAGAAAAUUGAAAUGGGUUUAAAUAUUCUUACUUUAUUGCCAAAGAUAGCAGUGGAAUCCUUUGAUGUUUUGUGAUGACUCCUUAUUUCUCUUGGGUAAAAAUGAGCAUUUCGUGACAUUAUAAUCAUCUUGCUUUAUCUGUAAAGAGUUAAAGGUGAGAAUCACUUUCUACUAUGCCUUAUAAAAUAGCCUGGUGAAGAAGUUUAUAGAGCCCUGUGAUAAAGGAUGGCCCUCAGGGACAUGGACCCCGUCAGGGAGUAUUUAAUGAGAUUUUCGGCUUGGGCAUCUACAGCGGUUGUAACAGGACUAGAGUGUCUUGAGUGACAGGCACACAACAUGAAAAAUCAUAGAAGCAGGGGAAUGGAGUGGAGAAACAACUUAAAGCCCUUCAUACCGCUUUUAAAAAUUUUGCAGGUUUGUCACAAGUUGGACCGAGCAGGUUCUCCUCUGCUGACCUGGGCGCUGGUUCACAGCUGUCACACACUCCUAGGUGGGGGUCUCCCAGUUCGCUUCCAGAUGCACCGAUUACUCCCAGAUGUGACUCCAAGGAGAAAGGAAAACGGAUGUAUGGCUGGACUCCCAAACCCUUCGAUUCUCCACCAGCUGCCCCCUGCUGCUCAGAUGCACAGAGAAGAUCGAAGAGGACACACUGCAAAGAAAUGGAUACUCUUCAUUAUUUUAAGUCUGGCCUCAACUCCUCAGUGUUGGGUUCUGGAGAAGGAAACCCUGUUCUCAACUUUUCCCUAAGGAGGAAAAGCAAUGCUUGAAAUUGUUCAGGCUCCAGGCUGCUCACUGAAGCCACUUUUGCUGGGGGUGGCGACUUCGGGGAAGGACACAUGGUGUCCAUUUCUGAUGUGGACGGUGGGGCCCUGCAUUUCGUUGUUACUCUGAGUUCUGAGAUGUGGUUUCAGCUUGGGGAGGAACAGCAGGCAUGAUAGCGUGCUUGAUUCAGUAGUGUUUAGACCUAACCAGCGUCGGAAGAAUAAAAUGCUUCCAUAUGAUCCAACCUAACUCCCUGGGGUACUGCUUUGGCCCAAAAUCCUGGCUAGUAAGAAAGUACAGUAUUUCCUAUUUUGCCCCAGUUGUGCAUGCAGGGCCUUUUGAGGAGGACUCGUGGCUAGCCAAGGCAGGAACUGGGACUUGAAUAUUCUUGGAAUCCCAUCUUAAUGUGACUCCUGCAUAAGAUCAACCUCUCAUUUGCUGGAAACGAGAGCCAGCACAACUGCAUUUGUAUAAACCAGACAGAGUACAAGAGUCCAGGCUAAAGAUGUGGUUCAUUUGCUCCUUCCUUUUUAUCCACAUCCAAACAGUGGCCACUAAUACAACUGAGUCAGGUCACAAGAGGAAAAGGAAAAUAAGCCGUACAAAACAACACAAAGGGAAAGAUUAUUUUAUACUGUAAAAUCCAGAGCAUAGCAGGUGUCACCUAGGAAGGUCCAGGUGCUACAGGGAAGAUUUCUUAAAGACUUGUCUUUGUCAUUCCUCUCACAUAUGUGUAUUAAAUACCUACUGAACUAGUAGUAUCACAGUGAAAGAAUUACAAAAUAAUGUCCCCACCUUAAAAGAAUUCACUCUGAUCUGGCUGCCUGGUAGGAAUAAAGAACCCAGACAGAAUCCCUUCUCCAGAGUGUUGUUUCAAAUACAAAAGUUACUUUUAAGGAGAAUAAGCAAUUAUGAAUGCACAUUAAAUGAUUUAAUUCAUUCACAUGGCAAAAAGACACAAGGAAAGUGCUCAAUCUAGGUUUCUGUUCAAGUUCUUCUUAGUUCAUGACACAGAGUCAAGGAAAACCACUCCUUCUUCCACGGGACC